AGAGUUUGAUCAUGGCUCAGAUUGAACGCUGGCGGCAGGCCUAACACAUGCAAGUCGAGCGGUAGCACAGAGAGCUUGCUCUCGGGUGACGAGCGGCGGACGGGUGAGUAAUGUCUGGGAAACUGCCUGAUGGAGGGGGAUAACUACUGGAAACGGUAGCUAAUACCGCAUAAUGUCGCAAGACCAAAGUGGGGGACCUUCGGGCCUCAUGCCAUCAGAUGUGCCCAGAUGGGAUUAGCUAGUAGGUGGGGUAACGGCUCACCUAGGCGACGAUCCCUAGCUGGUCUGAGAGGAUGACCAGCCACACUGGAACUGAGACACGGUCCAGACUCCUACGGGAGGCAGCAGUGGGGAAUAUUGCACAAUGGGCGCAAGCCUGAUGCAGCCAUGCCGCGUGUGUGAAGAAGGCCUUCGGGUUGUAAAGCACUUUCAGCGGGGAGGAAGGCGGUGAGGUUAAUAACCUCAUCGAUUGACGUUACCCGCAGAAGAAGCACCGGCUAACUCCGUGCCAGCAGCCGCGGUAAUACGGAGGGUGCAAGCGUUAAUCGGAAUUACUGGGCGUAAAGCGCACGCAGGCGGUCUGUCAAGUCGGAUGUGAAAUCCCCGGGCUCAACCUGGGAACUGCAUUCGAAACUGGCAGGCUAGAGUCUUGUAGAGGGGGGUAGAAUUCCAGGUGUAGCGGUGAAAUGCGUAGAGAUCUGGAGGAAUACCGGUGGCGAAGGCGGCCCCCUGGACAAAGACUGACGCUCAGGUGCGAAAGCGUGGGGAGCAAACAGGAUUAGAUACCCUGGUAGUCCACGCCGUAAACGAUGUCGAUUUGGAGGUUGUGCCCUUGAGGCGUGGCUUCCGGAGCUAACGCGUUAAAUCGACCCCCUGGGGAGUACGGCCGCAAGGUUAAAACUCAAAUGAAUUGACGGGGGCCCGCACAAGCGGUGGAGCAUGUGGUUUAAUUCGAUGCAACGCGAAGAACCUUACCUGGUCUUGACAUCCACAGAACUUAGCAGAGAUGCUUUGGUGCCUUCGGGAACUGUGAGACAGGUGCUGCAUGGCUGUCGUCAGCUCGUGUUGUGAAAUGUUGGGUUAAGUCCCGCAACGAGCGCAACCCUUAUCCUUUGUUGCCAGCGGUUAGGCCGGGAACUCAAAGGAGACUGCCAGUGAUAAACUGGAGGAAGGUGGGGAUGACGUCAAGUCAUCAUGGCCCUUACGACCAGGGCUACACACGUGCUACAAUGGCAUAUACAAAGAGAAGCGACCUCGCGAGAGCAAGCGGACCUCAUAAAGUAUGUCGUAGUCCGGAUUGGAGUCUGCAACUCGACUCCAUGAAGUCGGAAUCGCUAGUAAUCGUAGAUCAGAAUGCUACGGUGAAUACGUUCCCGGGCCUUGUACACACCGCCCGUCACACCAUGGGAGUGGGUUGCAAAAGAAGUAGGUAGCUUAACCUUCGGGAGGGCGCUUACCAUACUGUGA
Molecule: ribosomal RNA, 1467 nt
Filed under: Klebsiella pneumoniae
Lineage: Bacteria; Pseudomonadati; Pseudomonadota; Gammaproteobacteria; Enterobacterales; Enterobacteriaceae
Description: bacterial SSU rRNA
Rfam family: Bacterial small subunit ribosomal RNA
Source: RNAcentral